This 23-nucleotide transfer RNA is filed under the name Erythropitta finschii. RNAcentral describes it as "Erythropitta erythrogaster finschii partial tRNA-Arg". The record is from RNAcentral. Lineage: Eukaryota; Metazoa; Chordata; Aves; Passeriformes; Pittidae.
AGAAAGUUAGUCCAACCGAGACA